Molecule: ribosomal RNA, 711 nt
Filed under: uncultured beta proteobacterium
Lineage: Bacteria; Pseudomonadati; Pseudomonadota; Betaproteobacteria
Description: bacterial SSU rRNA
Rfam family: Bacterial small subunit ribosomal RNA
Source: RNAcentral
GGCAGCGCGGACUUCGGUCUGGCGGCGAGUGGCGAACGGGUGAGUAAUGUAUCGGAACGUGCCCAGUAGCGGGGGAUAACUACUCGAAAGAGUAGCUAAUACCGCAUACGCCCUACGGGGGAAAGGGGGGGAUCGCAAGACCUCUCACUAUUGGAGCGGCCGAUAUCGGAUUAGCUAGUUGGUGAGGUAAAGGCUCACCAAGGCGACGAUCCGUAGCUGGUUUGAGAGGACGACCAGCCACACUGGGACUGAGACACGGCCCAGACUCCUACGGGAGGCAGCAGUGGGGAAUUUUGGACAAUGGGGGAAACCCUGAUCCAGCCAUUCCGCGUGUGCGAUGAAGGCCUUCGGGUUGUAAAGCACUUUUGGCAGGAAAGAAAUCGCACGGAUUAAUACUCUGUGUGGAUGACGGUACCUGCAGAAUAAGCACCGGCUAACUACGUGCCAGCAGCCGCGGUAAUACGUAGGGUGCAAGCGUUAAUCGGAAUUACUGGGCGUAAAGCGUGCGCAGGCGGUUCGGAAAGAAAGGUGUGAAAUCCCAGGGCUUAACCUUGGAACUGCACUUUUAACUACCGAGCUAGAGUAUGUCAGAGGGGGGUGGAAUUCCGCGUGUAGCAGUGAAAUGCGUAGAUAUGCGGAGGAACACCGAUGGCGAAGGCAGCCCCCUGGGAUAAUACUGACGCUCAUGCACGAAAGCGUGGGGAGCAAACA